Molecule: ribosomal RNA, 200 nt
Filed under: uncultured bacterium
Lineage: Bacteria
Description: partial 16S ribosomal RNA
Rfam family: Bacterial small subunit ribosomal RNA
Source: RNAcentral
ACGCUCGACACCUACGGGGAGGCAGCAGGUGGGGAAUAUUGCACAAUGGGGGAAACCCUGAUGCAGCGACGCCGCGUGAGCGAAGAAGUAUUUCGGUAUGUAAAGCUCUAUCAGCAGGGAAGAAACUGACGGUACCUGACUAAGAAGCACCGGCUAAAUACGUGUCAGCAGCCGCGGUAAUCUGAGCGGGCUGGCAAGGC